GUCGGGCGUGAAGCUUUCCGGGCCGUUGAAGAAGGUGUGGAUGCCGGCCGUC
Molecule: small RNA, 52 nt
Filed under: Sinorhizobium meliloti 2011
Lineage: Bacteria; Pseudomonadati; Pseudomonadota; Alphaproteobacteria; Hyphomicrobiales; Rhizobiaceae
Description: putative ncRNA
Source: RNAcentral